RNAcentral lists this transfer RNA (67 nucleotides) under Marmota monax (woodchuck). Its description in RNAcentral is "tRNA.Ser". It matches the Rfam family "tRNA", at positions 6 to 65 of the family's 71-position model. Rfam says of the family: Transfer RNA (tRNA) molecules are approximately 80 nucleotides in length. The record is from RNAcentral. Lineage: Eukaryota; Metazoa; Chordata; Mammalia; Rodentia; Sciuridae.
GGAUGUGGCUCAGUGGUAGAGUGCUUGCCUGGAAAGCAUGAGGCCAUGGGUUCAAUUUCCAGCACCA